Molecule: transfer RNA, 56 nt
Filed under: Apaloderma vittatum (bar-tailed trogon)
Lineage: Eukaryota; Metazoa; Chordata; Aves; Trogoniformes; Trogonidae
Rfam family: tRNA
About the family: Transfer RNA (tRNA) molecules are approximately 80 nucleotides in length. Their secondary structure includes four short double-helical elements and three loops (D, anti-codon, and T loops).
Source: Rfam by way of RNAcentral
GCUCAGUGGUCUGAGCGCAGUGCUGACAACACCGAGGUCGCGGGUUCGAUUCCCGC